CCUACGGGGGUCAGCAGUGGGGGAUAUUGCACAAUGGGGGAAACCCUGAUGCAGCGACGCCGCGUGGGUGAAGAAGCGCCUCGGCGCGUAAAGCCCUGUCAGCAGGGAAGAAAAUGACGGUACCUGAAGAAGAAGCCCCGGCUAACUACGUGCCAGCAGCCGCGGUAAUACGUAGGGGGCAAGCGUUAUCCGGAUUUACGGGGUGUAAAGGGGGCGCAGACGGCGAUGCAAGCCAGGAGUGAAAGCCCGGGGCCCAACCCCGGGACUGCUCUUGGAACUGCGUGGCUAGAGUGCAGGAGGGGCAGGCGGAAUUCCUGGUGUAGCGGUGAAAUGCGUAGAUAUCAGGAGGAACACCGGUGGCGAAGGCGGCCUGCUGGACUACAACUGACGUUGAGGCCCGAAAGCGUGGGGAGCAAACAGGAUUAGAUACCCGAGUAGUC
This 440-nucleotide ribosomal RNA is filed under the name uncultured bacterium. RNAcentral's name for it is "partial 16S ribosomal RNA". It matches the Rfam family "Bacterial small subunit ribosomal RNA", at positions 338 to 795 of the family's 1533-position model. The record is from RNAcentral.